AGUCCCUCCUCCUACAGGAAGCGGAACAUUUCCUGCUGUUGAGCUGGAACUUUGCUGGACGAUCUCCCCGCUCCUGGAGGCAACACAUACCGGCAUCAGCGAGGAUGACAGCCCUCCUGGGCAGACUCGUGGUUUCGGGCUGCUCGUCGUGGCGGUGCAGCCGGACCGGCCGCGCAGCGCUCCCCCGGGCCGGAGCGCGCCUGCUGGCCGGGAGCGAGCGCCCUUUGACGGGGAGCGGGGGCGCGGACACGCCGGAGCCUCCACAGGUGGACCUGAAGAGGCUGGAGGGGGAGGACGAGGGGAUCGUGGAGGUGUUGAUGCGCCGAUACAGAGCAAGAAACGCUCUCGGUCAUGUGUUCGUGUCACAGAUGGGGGAGCUGGUGUCCUCCCUCUCCAGUGACUCGGCAGUGCGUGUGGUUAUCUUCAGAAGUUUAGUACCAGGGGUCUUCUGUGCAGGUGCCGACCUGAAAGAGCGAUCUCUGAUGACCGACGCCGAGUCUGACCUGUUCGUUCACGGCCUGCGGUCCUUGAUGACUCAAAUAGCAUCGUUGCCCUCGCCGACCAUAGCAGCAAUGGACGGCGUGGCCCUUGGAGGUGGACUGGAGCUCGCCCUGGCCUGUGACCUUCGCACAGCCACAUAUUCUGCACAGAUGGGUCUGAUCGAGACGACACGGGGGCUGCUUCCAGGGGCGGGGGGCAGUCAGCGGCUGCCGCGGAUGGUCGGCAUCACUCUGGCCAAGGACCUCAUAUUCACAGGUAGACGUGUGGGCGGGCGAACGGCUCUGGAGAUGGGGCUUGUAAACGGAGCCGUGGAACAGAACCAGGCAGGAGACGCAGCGUACAGAGAGGCGCUCAGCCUGGCCAGAGAAAUACUGCCCCAGGCAAAGAUCUGCUCUCUUCCCUCUUUUUCUUCUGCUCAUUGUCUGCCUCUCUUCAUCGCUCCCUCCUUCAGAUCCUGGUGUUUUCCUCCCACCACUCUUCUCUCCUCUCUCUCCAGGCCUCUGUCAUCCCAUAUAUCUUUCACUCCAGUUCAGAUGCCUGCAGUUGGCAGAGCCGGAGUGGCAGUCAAGUGGAGAAACGGACCACAAAUAGCACGACAUGAGCACACAUCCGCGGCCGAAUGCUCAGGCCGGUGUGGCCUUAGUGACUGAUUUGUGAUGACUGGAAGUGAGGUGAAAUAGACUCAAUGAUAGGUGAACCCACAGAUCCUGGUAGAGUUGUGGCUGCCGGUUAUCUUUUUAUUUUGUGCUUAUCCGGUGAAGAGUUGUGGUUGAAGCAGGCUGAUCAGGGUCCUCGAGACAUUCCCGUUUUCUAAUAUUCCAAGGUGAAACCAAAUAAUUUGAUGUAUGCAAUUCCUACUCAAGGACCUUUAGAAAGGUGACAGCAAUCAGCUAGGAAGCCAUCCUGAUCACAUGCCCAGACCACUUCAGCUGACUCCUCUAGUCCUCAAGGAGCAACGAUGCUUGAUGUCUGAGCUCUUCACCUUCUGCCAAAGGUCAUGCAGUCCCUCCCCCAGAGCAAGCCUCUUUCAGAGGCUCGUAGCCAUGGCUCACUCUUCCGGUCACUAACCAGAACUCAGAACUGUAGGUGAGGGGUGCAGGUCCACCAGUUACUCAAAUAUUUUUUUCCUUUCUGACGUGACUGUCUUCAGUAGGGUUGCCACCUUUCAGAAAUAGAAAUAAGGGACGCCCUGAUUUCAGCAGCGCAGGAGCCAAAAAAAAAGCCCUAAAACUUCUAAACUGAAUAAAAAUGUGUUUAUUUUAUAUGAAAAAACAAAAUGCUUUGAUUUAAAGUUUAAAAUGCUUUAAUAGCAUUGAACUUGCAUGACUGUAUAGACAGCCAACCAUAAUAGCAACUGAAAUAUCCUCCUAUGCUACGUACGUCCACAUCAGCCCAGAUGUAAUAUAGCUACAGGUGAAGAAUAUGGUGUAAAAGUUAAUUUAUUUCAAUAAUUCAACUAGAAUAUGGUGUAAAAUUUAAUUUAUUUCUAUAAUUCAACUAGAAUAUGGUGUAAAAGUUAAUUUAUUUCAAUAAUUCAACUAGAAUAUGGUGUAAAAGUUAAUUUAUUUCAAUAAUUCAACUAGAAUAUGGUGUAAAAGUUAAUUUAUUUCAAUAAUUCAACUAGAAUUUGGUGUAAAAGUUAAUUUAUUUCAAUAAUUCAACUAGAAUAUGGUGUAAAAGUUAAUGAAAAUACGGUACAAAUCGUGUCCCAUAUUAGUUCAAUACGGGACGCAACAUUUUUUUCUCAAAUAAAGGACAAUUCCGUAUUUUACGGGACGGGUGGCAACCCUAGUCUUCAGUCUUCACUACAAUGUUGCUCCGCUAUUAUAUUACUGUUACUGCUGCUAGCCGUUUAAUCCCCCGACCCAACAGGAUAUUUAAACUUUUACACUUGGGAAGUCCAACAUAAAACAUCUCCAAGAGGAGAUGCCGUUCUGAGGCUCUGUAGCUGAGCAGCAGCUAGAGGUCGUCUCCACAGAUGUAAUGAACAGAAACAAGGUGGUUAUAGUCUGAAAAGUCAGUGAAUGGUGUCUCAUUAAUACAUUUGGCAUUUAACGUUCCAUCACUUCUACUGCCCAGGCUCCUGUCGCUGUGCGCAUGGCUAAAGAGGCAAUGAACAGAGGAAUGGAGGUUGACAUCGGUUCAGGGAUGGCGAUAGAGAGGAUGUGUUAUGCCAGGGUCAUCCCCACACGGGACCGACAGGAGGGAAUGGCAGCCUUCAUCGAAAA
Cololabis saira (Pacific saury) is the source of this 2729-nucleotide RNA transcript. It is a transcript of the gene named enoyl CoA hydratase domain containing 2, with no coding region annotated. The transcript is spliced from 11 exons. The record is from RefSeq and is a predicted model, not a curated record. NCBI's taxonomy places the organism in Eukaryota, Metazoa, Chordata, Actinopteri, Beloniformes, Belonidae.